GAUAAACGCUAGCGGCAGGCCUAACACAUGCAAGUCGAGGGGCAGCGUGGAAGUAGUUUACUACUUCUGACGGCGACCGGCGCACGGGUGCGUAACGCGUAUGCAACCUACCUAUAACAGGGGGAUAAUUCCGAGAAAUUGGUUCUAAUACCCCAUACUAUAUUGAAUGGCAUCAUUUGAUAUUGAAAGUUCCGGCGGUUAUAGAUGGGCAUGCGUUGUAUUAGCUAGUUGGUGAGGUAACGGCUCACCAAGGCGACGAUACAUAGGGGGACUGAGAGGUUAGCCCCCCACACUGGUACUGAGACACGGACCAGACUCCUACGGGAGGCAGCAGUGAGGAAUAUUGGUCAAUGGGCGAGAGCCUGAACCAGCCAAGUCGCGUGAAGGAUGACUGCCCUAUGGGUUGUAAACUUCUUUUAUAGGGGAAUAAAAAGUGGGACGUGUCCUAUAUUGUAUGUACCCUAUGAAUAAGCAUCGGCUAACUACGUGCCAGCAGCCGCGGUAAUAC
This 508-nucleotide ribosomal RNA is filed under the name uncultured bacterium. RNAcentral's name for it is "bacterial SSU rRNA". It matches the Rfam family "Bacterial small subunit ribosomal RNA", at positions 28 to 526 of the family's 1533-position model. The record is from RNAcentral.